This 328-nucleotide ribosomal RNA is filed under the name uncultured bacterium. RNAcentral describes it as "bacterial SSU rRNA". It matches the Rfam family "Bacterial small subunit ribosomal RNA", at positions 568 to 898 of the family's 1533-position model. The record is from RNAcentral.
UGCGUAGGUGGGCAGGUAAGUCAGUGGUGAAAUCUCCGGGCUUAACCCGGAAACUGCCGUUGAUACUAUCUGUCUUGAAUAUAGUGGAGGUGAGCGGAAUAUGUCAUGUAGCGGUGAAAUGCUUAGAGAUGACAUAGAACACCCAUUGCGAAGGCAGCUCGCUACACUAUUAUUGACACUGAUGCACGAAAGCGUGGGGAUCAAACAGGAUUAGAUACCCUGGUAGUCCACGCCCUAAACGAUGGAUACUCGACAUCAGCGAUACACUGUUGGUGUCUGAGCGAAAGCAUUAAGUAUCCCACCUGGGAAGUACGACCGCAAGGUUGAA